Molecule: ribosomal RNA, 440 nt
Filed under: uncultured bacterium
Lineage: Bacteria
Description: partial 16S ribosomal RNA
Rfam family: Bacterial small subunit ribosomal RNA
Source: RNAcentral
CCUACGGGAGGCAGCAGUGGGGAAUAUUGCACAAUGGGCGAAACCCUGAUGCAGCAACGCCGCGUGAGUGAAGAAGUAUUUCGGUAUGUAAAGCUCUAUCAGCAGGGAAGAAGAAAGACGGUACCUGACUAAGAAGCCCCGGCUAACUACGUGCCAGCAGCCGCGGUAAUACGUAGGGGGCAAGCGUUAUCCGGAUUUACUGGGUGUAAAGGGUGCGCAGGGGGAGGUGAAAGUCAGCGGUCAAAUUGCGGGGCUCAACCCCGUACUGCCGUUGAAACUGCAUCCCUUGAGUGCGCGAGAAGUAUGCGGAAUGCGUGGUGUAGCGGUGAAAUGCAUAGAUAUCGCGCAGAACGCCGAUUGCGAAGGCAGCAUACCGGCGCCCGACUGACGCUGAGGCACGAAAGCGUGGGGAUCGAACAGGAUUAGAUACCCUUGUAGUC